AGCUUUGCGCAGUGGCAGUAUCGUAGCCCAUGAUGUCAAUCCGAGGCGUGAUUAUUGCUAAUUGAAAACUUUACCCAAUACCCCGCCAUGAUGACUUGAAAUACAGUCAGCAUUGGCGAUUUUUGACAGGCUCUGAGGAGA
This 141-nucleotide small nuclear RNA is filed under the name Pelobates cultripes (western spadefoot toad). It matches the Rfam family "U4 spliceosomal RNA". Rfam says of the family: U4 small nuclear RNA (U4 snRNA) is a component of the major U2-dependent spliceosome. The structure of U4 snRNA from yeast and human has been reported. The record is from RNAcentral. Lineage: Eukaryota; Metazoa; Chordata; Amphibia; Anura; Pelobatidae.